Long non-coding RNA from Drosophila ananassae, 2430 nucleotides. RefSeq lists it as uncharacterized. The transcript is spliced from 3 exons. NCBI's taxonomy places the organism in Eukaryota, Metazoa, Arthropoda, Insecta, Diptera, Drosophilidae. The record is from RefSeq and is a predicted model, not a curated record.
CGUUUAGACUACCCAGUACGGGGUUGUCGGCUGUCGGUUGUCAUUAGAGAUGGACGUGGUACAGAUUUUUUCUGGUUUGUGGCCCUGCCAACACCAGAAUACUAAGUGUUUUGCCUAAUAAAUCAUUAAGCCGGCUUUUGGCUUGGCCUCUCUAGUUUUACUGCCAAAGUAACAGUUACAGUUUAUAAUAUGUAUUUUGAUAGCCGAGGAUUAGAGUUGGACAUCUAGGAUCCUUUAAAGAAAAUCCCUAUCAUCACUUUAAAACUUUCCCCCACAUGUUUGCGUUUAAUUGGCCUGAAUAGUCGACUUUAGUUUGACAUUUUAACCCAUCCAUUCAUGGGAAUCCGCAUUAAAAUUUUCAAUUCUGACUGCCACGUGUCGUGGCACCUUUUCCACCCAAAGUUGUCAGCCAGUUAAUUCCAGUUCCAGUACUUAGCGGCUUAGACACAUAGCUCGGAGAACAAACAAGGUGAUGGAGGGUAUCCGGGGAGACAGGGCAACUCAAGCGUCCAUCAUUUGAUAAACUGUCUGUCAGUCACUCAGUCAGGUGAGUCAGUGAAGCGUUCAAUCUUCUCACAUUUUUUAGCACCUUUGUCAGCUUAUCCAGCUUGUGUCGAUAGCGUUUGUGCGAAAAAUUUUGCAAUAGUAUCUUCGCUCUGGCUCUCUGACAGAGAUUCGAGAUUCGACAGUCGGGAGAAUGCCUCUGGGGCUUGUCCAAACAAAAUAUACAAUAGUUUUCAGCUCUGUCUCCGUCGGAUGUUGUCACACUUUUUGUCACCCUUCGGUUUGGCUUCCAUCGUUCUGUCGCUCUGUUUUUUUGCUUUUUAGCCAACUUGCCAGAUAAACAACCGACCGACACACCAAACAACCAACCAGCCGGCAAACCGACCGCUUCGGAGCAAAACAACAACGGAUUAAGGAGUUAUAACUUCUAGUACAAGAUGUGGGACCAUAAACCUCGAAAAUACCCAACAACUUUGUAAGCCCUUUGGCUUACACAUGUCGGAGCCAUAAACCGCAGCAAUUAUCCAUCCCUUUCCGGAGGAAUUCGAUUUGAAAGCCCCAUUUGUAGAGCCCAAAGUGCAACACACACUCAUAGCGGACAAAAUAGAGACCCUUUGAGAUGAAGCCGUUGGCUGCAACUCGCGGCCGUUGCGCCUAAGCGCAAGAUAAACUUUGCGUCUUGAAGCGAAACGAAACGAACAGCGGCGGCCCAGAUGCCGGCGACCACCGCAAAAACUUCAAAAUCUUCAACCCGUAACCGCACCACCCACACCCCCACCCGUUCACCACCCCCAUUGGAGUCCUUUGCUCCCGCCAUUUUGCACUUCAACUUGCUGGGGAAUUGUUCUCCCUUUCCGAAUCGCGUCUGUAUGAGUGCAUGCAUGUAUAUGCAUGGAUCUGUAUGUAGGUUGGGAUAUUUUUUUCACUUCUGGGGCAUUUUUGCAUGUUUGUCUCGCAAAUUAUGCGCUGCACACAAACAAAAGAGGAAACAGCGACGUUGCAGCCGCUGCUGCCACUGCCGCUGUUGCUGCUGCACUGUACGGUUAUUUUUUAGCUGCCGCUGAUGAUGGGCUGAAAAUUCAAGGGACUGCGAAUAAAGGACAGUGAAGGCUCGCGAUAAAGGUAUAUCUCUAUCAUCAGACGGUCGAGACUCAUAAAUAAGUCAACAUCUAGGUUAUCGAAAAUGAAAAUAAAUAUACGCAAUGCGUUCUUUUCUUUUAAAAACGCAAAGACAACAUGCUUUAUAUAAAUAUUAAUCAUACGCCAUGUUGUUUGAAAAAUUUUAGUGCUGUUUACAUCAAUAUAUAUAUUUUUCAAUAUAAUCUUACUUAUAAAAAACAUAAUUUUUAAUUUUUUCAAUAAUUUCUUAAUCUUGAAAAAAAAAUUAAUCAUACGCCAUGUGGUCAGUCUCCAAAUAUUUAUUAAAUAGAUCCUUAAAGUCUUCUUAUUUCAAUAUAAUAUUCUCAAUUCAAUAUUAUUUGAUGAAUUUUAGCAAUAUAAAUUACAAUAAUCAGAGUUCUAUGUUUUUUUCUAAAAUAAAAAUUUAUCAUACGCCACGUGGGCCCAUACGCCAAACAAGAGAAACUGUAAAGAAAAUAAUUUCUAAUGAGCUAAAAAUAGUACAAUUACAAUAAAUACAUUGAAAUAAUUUAUACAUUUGCUUACAAUAGAGAUUUUUUAUUAAAAUAGAUUUUCUAAUAAAACAUGCAUUGAAAAAUAUUACUCAUACGCCACGGAGACCGAAUGAAUAAAAGAAAUCGGUUUCCAAAAAACAUUCAAUAAAAUACAUUUUUAAAUAAAUAAUUAAAAAUUAAAAACAUCAACCACAAUUUGUAAAUUAUUAAUUUUAAGUAAUAGAACUGGGAUUACUUUUAUGACUAAUUCUAAGUACACCCUCAUCAAACUGCACUUCAUCAUCUUUCAGCC